ACAAACAGAGGCAGAUGGCGGUGGCAUUUCCUUCUUGCCGGGAGCUCAGAUACGAUCUGGACGCUUUUCAGCAGCCUUUGUGUCCACUGCCUCGCAGCGCGGCAGCUUUCCUGGAUGGAGCCCCAGCCACCCAAGCUGCAGACUGAUUUUAUUGAACCAUGAUGGCUUGUGGGAAGUAAUUGAGGUCACUCGGACCUGGCUGGAGGAGAGCCAACCUCGCCGAGGAGAAAGGCUGACAUCGUUCAUCCUUCAGCGGCUCUUCCUUGAGAGGAUUUAUUUUUGGUGACCCAUUUAGGAGGCAGCAUACAAAGCUGUGAUGGUCUUCCAUUAUUGCACUGGACCAACUUUGCUAGACUUGACGAAGUGUCUUCCUGGAAGAUACACAGGAAAUGAUGGGAGUAUGUGACCCCCGGGAACAGUGGAAGGGAUACUCUGACCAUGCUCCACCAUGUCAUUUCCUGGCUACAGAAGAUGGAGGAACUCAUACUGGACACAGGACAGUCAACACAAUUGUGGUACAUAAGUGAGUUUCUCAGUUGAUGCCAGCAAAUCACAAUCUGGUCCACAGCAGAUGC
Non-coding RNA from Peromyscus maniculatus bairdii (prairie deer mouse), 575 nucleotides. NCBI's taxonomy places the organism in Eukaryota, Metazoa, Chordata, Mammalia, Rodentia, Cricetidae. The record is from RefSeq and is a predicted model, not a curated record.